RNAcentral lists this ribosomal RNA (117 nucleotides) under Enterobacter cloacae. Its description in RNAcentral is "partial 23S ribosomal RNA". The stretch from base 1 to 99 matches the Rfam family "Bacterial large subunit ribosomal RNA", at positions 2827 to 2925 of the family's 2925-position model. The record is from RNAcentral. Lineage: Bacteria; Pseudomonadati; Pseudomonadota; Gammaproteobacteria; Enterobacterales; Enterobacteriaceae. RNAcentral also lists the same sequence under 1 other name.
CUGAAGGAACGUUGAAGACGACGACGUUGAUAGGUCGGGUGUGUAAGCGCAGCGAUGCGUUGAGCUAACCGAUACUAAUGAACCGUGAGGCUUAACCUUACAACGCCGAAGGUGUUU